Salmo salar (Atlantic salmon) is the source of this 54-nucleotide non-coding RNA. The record is from Rfam. NCBI's taxonomy places the organism in Eukaryota, Metazoa, Chordata, Actinopteri, Salmoniformes, Salmonidae.
AAUGCACCAAUUUGUAAGUCGCUCUGGAUAAGCGCGUCUGCUAAAUGAUUUAAA